This 22-nucleotide microRNA is filed under the name Gadus morhua (Atlantic cod). RNAcentral describes it as "gmo-miR-11244-3p". Lineage: Eukaryota; Metazoa; Chordata; Actinopteri; Gadiformes; Gadidae. The record is from miRBase by way of RNAcentral.
UCAUCUAUCCGUCAUGCAUCUA